Molecule: ribosomal RNA, 606 nt
Filed under: uncultured bacterium
Lineage: Bacteria
Description: bacterial SSU rRNA
Rfam family: Bacterial small subunit ribosomal RNA
Source: RNAcentral
GCGACCGGCCACACUGGGACUGAGACACGGCCCAGACUCCUACGGGAGGCAGCAGUGGGGAAUAUUGCACAAUGGGCGAAAGCCUGAUGCAGCGACGCCGCGUGAGGGAUGACGGCCUUCGGGUUGUAAACCUCUUUCAGCAGGGAAGAAGCGCAAGUGACGGUACCUGCAGAAGAAGCGCCGGCUAACUACGUGCCAGCAGCCGCGGUAAUACGUAGGGCGCAAGCGUUGUCCGGAAUUAUUGGGCGUAAAGAGCUCGUAGGCGGUUUGUCGCGUCGGAUGUGAAAGCCCGGGGCUUAACCCCGGGUCUGCAUUCGAUACGGGCAGACUAGAGUGUGGUAGGGGAGAUCGGAAUUCCUGGUGUAGCGGUGAAAUGCGCAGAUAUCGGGAGGAACACCGGUUGCGAAGGCGGAUCUCUGGGCCAUUACUGACGCUGAGGAGCGAAAGCGUGGGGAGCGAACAGGAUUAGAUACCCUGGUAGUCCACGCCGUAAACGGUGGGAACUAGGUGUUGGCGACAUUCCACGUCGUCGGUGCCGCAGCUAACGCAUUAAGUUCCCCGCCUGGGGAGUACGGCCGCAAGGCUAAAACUCAAAGGAAUUGACGG